Molecule: ribosomal RNA, 468 nt
Filed under: uncultured bacterium
Lineage: Bacteria
Description: partial 16S ribosomal RNA
Rfam family: Bacterial small subunit ribosomal RNA
Source: RNAcentral
GACGAACGCUGGCGGCGUGCUUAACACAUGCAAGUCGAACGGAAAGGCCCUGCUUUUGUGGGGUGCUCGAGUGGCGAACGGGUGAGUAACACGUGAGUAACCUGCCCUUGACUUUGGGAUAACUUCAGGAAACUGGGGCUAAUACCGGAUAGGAGCUCCUGCUGCAUGGUGGGGGUUGGAAAGUUUCGGCGGUUGGGGAUGGACUCGCGGCUUAUCAGCUUGUUGGUGGGGUAGUGGCUUACCAAGGCUUUGACGGGUAGCCGGCCUGAGAGGGUGACCGGCCACAUUGGGACUGAGAUACCGGCCAGACUCCUACGGGAGGAAGGAGUGGGGAAUAUUGCACAAUGGGCGGAAGCCUGAUGCAGCAACGCCGCGUGCGGGAUGACGGCCUUCGGGUUGUAAACCGCUUUCGCCUGUGACGAAGCGUGAGUGACGGUAAUGGGUAAAGAAGCACCGGCUAACUACGUG